CACCAGCAAGAGUGUCUGGAGAAGCUGCAGUUUAUGAACCUUGCUCUAAAAAAUUUUUAACACGUUUGUCUCCAUCAAACUCCUUUAGUUAGUUGGGGACUGUGUGAAGUUUAGAGAAAUUAGUCAAGAUAGGGUGCUGGAGCAAGUCAGUCACUCAGGGUCACCCAGUGAGCCAUGCUGAGACAGCCGGGCCAGCAGACUUUCUGUCUCCUGUAGAAAUCAUUAGGUCCUACUUCCUCCCUCCCCAGUUGCUGAGGACACUUCUGCCUGGUGGGAUGGGAUUGCCAAGCACUGUAGUACUGGGGAGGCUCAGUGUUUUAAUGAACCACAAUGUGUUUGGAGGUUCUCUUCUCUACUUCCUGGUGCCAAUAUCUCAGUACCACAUCCCAUUGCCCCAGCCCUUUCUCAUUUUAUUGUCUUUCCCUUUGAAAGCUACAACUCUUGAUUUUGUUUCAUUGAUCUUUGCUUGGUCCAACUUACAGGUGGCUCCAUUUCCUUUAUACUCAUAAAAGUGUGAAAUUGCAGCUGGUCUGGAGGAUCUCCUGGCCUUAAGAGGGCAUCAGAGGUAGGUACACUGCGUAGAAAGUCAGGCUGCCAGUCUUAGUAAGUGAAGAAGGUGUCACAAAAAACAAAAUGAAAGGCUGCUUGAAGUCAAUAACUGGCUGGGCUGAGUAUCUGUCCUUGUUACAUAGUGCAGUGUUCAGGCUAAAUCAUUCAUUGUUAUUUAUAAUAAUAGCUACCAUUUAGUGAGUUCUUUUCUGGGCCAGACACUGUCGCAGUUGCUUUUUACUUUAUCUUAUUUACUUCUUAACAGCACUGAUUUUAUUAGUGCAUUCUCUGUUUUAUUGCUUAGGAAUCAGAGAGUUAAAUACUAUGCCCAAGGUCACACCCUAAUAAAUGAGAAGCUAGGAUUUAAAAAAUACCCAGGUCUGGCAGACUUUACACCUCUGCUCUCAACCUCUCCUCUCCAGCUCUACUGAUUCCACUUUGUACUGGUGAAUAAUAUCCCCUACCCAUCCCCUCCCCACAAACACAUAUGGUAUGGCCUUGGGACAAAAGAAUUUGCCUUUUUUAGACCUCAUUUUGUAUAGUUUGCAAAGUGCAGUGUAUAGUGAGGGAAGGAGGACUGAGGACAGCAGUGAAAUCCUCUUUUGACCUGAAACUUCACUUUUGGAAGGAGAAGACUAUUAGAUUGCUUUAUCUCCUUUAUUCCAAGGCCGUAAAUAAUGAAAUCACCAGGAGAGGCAAAACCAUGGCUUCUUUUGCCAUAGUCUUAGAAUCUCAAAAGUCGGCCAACUCUAGCACUGAGUCUAUAAUUUAAUUAAACAUCUUGAAGGCAGCUUGACAUUAGGCCAGCUUCAUAUUCUUGGAAAGGGACUGCAAAAAGAGUUCGUCUGUUUUUAUAGUUCAUUUACUGAGUUGAGCCAUCAUGGCCACGGCAUACCAUUUGCCUUACAAAAAUGGCCUACAACCUUCACACAAUUUUAGGGAGUCUGUUGCAACUAACUCAUUUAACUAGAGCUCAGCCAUCUGUCAGCUUCACCUAUCCCUAUUUCUUAAACAUGAAAUCUACACAGAUGGUUUGACGAUUAGUAAUUGAGGCAGAACUGGAAAAAUCUGAAACCUUUGCUGAGGCUGUUCAAAAAUGACUGAGUUCCCUGGUGGCCUAGUGGAUUAAAGAUCUGUCGUCACUGCUGUGGUUCAGGUUGCUGCUGUGGCACGGGUUCAGUCCCUGGCUCAGGAACUUCUUCAUGCCAUGGGUAUAUCCAAAAAAACAAAAAUAAAACUGACUGAGAACUAAGAAAUCAGUAAACAAGACGGCUGACCAGUUGAAAUAAAUAUCAUGAAGCAAACUCAUAAGAAAAAGGCCAUCUAUCUACCCAUAAAGCACCAUACUCAGAACCUAUUUAUUCCUACUUCACACAUAAUUCUAAAGGUUUGCAUCUGGUUUCUGAGCCUACAGCAGAUUAAGGGUAAGAAACAGAUUUCUAGCGGAAACUUAGGUCAAGAUGGAAAAAGAGCUGACAGCAAUAGAGAAGACAAAAAAAAAAAAAAAAAGUUAAAGUAGGCUAAAGAACCCAAAAAGCACUGUUUUAGGGAGGCAUUUAGUGUCAAAAAUAGCUCUCUACACAUCUCAAUUCUUCUUUCCUAACAUCGUAGGACCAUACAAUUAUAUUUAAAAUGAUGGCCCUGGGCAUCACACCUGAAGAAAUUAAAUUAUGCCCAGAAGAAAGUAAGGAUUUUCAUAUCAAACAUUUUAGAAAUAUUUAUAUCACCAAUGAUGAAAACAAACAAAAAGAAACAAAUUUCCCUUUUAGGGACUAAAGGAAUAAACCUUUCGACUAUCCAGAACAUUUAGCUAAACAAAACAAAACAUCUUCCUACCUGAGGUUUUUUUGGUUCCAGGAACGUCUUGUGUUUAGAGAAUUUUUUUUUAAAAAAAAAAAAGCUUUGUAAGUGACUUUCAUGCUACAGUGCUUUGCAUAUAAUGGCAUGAACAAUGGAAGUGCCAAGUUUUCAAUGUGAUGAAUAAAACUAAUAACCAGAGUACAGGUCAAAUUCUGUUACAACAAAUACUGCUACUAUAAAAAUCACUUAAGCAUCCCUGUUAUCUCUAAGCCCCUGUCAAUUGCCCAUUUAUUUGAAGCAAUAGUCAUUAUAGCAAAAUUGGGGUUAUAACAAAAAGAAACUGGACCCUCACCACAAGUUGGAUGUAACACAAUUUAACCUGGAAUAACAGAUUCUCACUUGUAUUUCUCCAGUUUUUUGCUGCAAGAAGAAUAAAUCUUAUGCAGACAUAAUGCCAGCCUGGAAAGCUGGUAUUUAGUAGUUGUUGCUAGGAGAAGAAAGAAUCCAGAAGCAAAGGACACAUGGAGCUGUGUGGCAGACCCUCACUAGUGAAUUUGGUCUCCAGGGCCACUUUUGACCUUAAUCCACAUUGGAGCCAUCAACCACAGAAUCACUUGCUUCUAAUAGUGAGGUAAUGCUUAUAUUAAGCCCUAGAAUGAAAACAUGAUUCAUUUCCCAUGGAUCAUUGAGCACUUUGUGGCAACCUGGGCCUGAUCCGAUGACCCCAAGAUAAAGAAAUUUAGAAGCAUGUGACUGGAACUGUCCUUUCUCCUAAGAUGCACUGCUUUCGACACUGCCUGAUUGUAAAAGCACACGCCACGUUGCUUCUAUGUAGAAAUGAUCCAAGUUAAUCAGCUGCAUUCCCUUUGCAAGGAUUUUCCAUGCCUCUCCAUCUUUUGCUUGUGGUAAUGAUGAAUUUCAUCAUUUGCUACAGGUUUUCUCUUUUUUCUACUUUCUUUUUGUCUUUCUCUUUCUUUGACCUAAUUACUUCUUAAUGACACUGCAACCACUACUUUGUAGCACCCGUAACAACAGAAGGGAUUAAAUCACAGUUCAUAUCUGAACAGUACAAUCAGCAAUAAUAGGAAAAGGAGUGGGGAGGGAGAGGGAAAUUGUCCACCUUUACCUGAAGAUCAUGCCUGGCUCAGACCCCAGAUUCACAUCAUACUCUGAAGAAGUUCAUAAAUUCUGGGCUCUGCUCAGCCUGAGGAGGCAGGCAGUAGUAUCCCAUCCUCAGGGUGAGAUGAGCGGUCUGUUGAAGUCACGCCGUUACAGAAUACAUCCUCCCCUGCUUGCUUUCCCUUCCCAAGCCAGCGUGUAGUUGAACAUCGACAUGUCCCAGGCCAGGAGGUCAGGUGGUAAAGAGCUUGAAUGCUUUGCCUGGCUCUGGAAAACGUUGCGUCGGAGUGAGGUGCUCUGGCUUGCAGGCGGCCAUUUGCUGCCUCACCGUUUUUAGCAGGAUAUCUGGAGAUUACAGGCGUUAAUUGAAAGUAACUUCUCUGUAUUUGGUUUCUCUCCACACAUUCAGGCUUCUGGGACCUUUGACCCAGUUGGAUGGCUGUAUCCUAGUAUCAAAUAUAGCGUUUUCCAAAUGGGAAGAACCAUGAUAGACAAGACACAGGCGCAUCAUCCAAAGGAGCUCAUGGACACACACGUGCCUGGAAGAGGCUGUCACCUGAGUGGUCCCCAGUUCUUACCAUGAUGUUGCGCACCUAUCGAGGGCUUCUGUUUCUAGGAAUGCUCAACACAUACGGCCUUGAACUGGAUUUACCCACCAUCUCAUUUCAGUCUCAUGAAGUGGCUUAGAAGAGAGCCCUUAUCCACCAUGCUGGCAGCCUCAUCUUGGACUUCCACCCUCCAGAACUGAGGGCAGUACAUUUCUGCUGUUGGUAAGCAUCCCAGUCUGGCAUCUUGUGACAGCAGCCCAGAGGGCCUACAGCGAGCAUUGAGAAGAUUUCCUCAUCUGCGGAAACCUACCUCCCAAAGGUGUUCACUGCCAGUCACACUGCAUGUGCCCCCUGGUUCUCACUUAAGCACUGCAGAGGAGCAGCUCAGCCUGUGGGUUUUGGAGACAGAUGAACAAAGAGGCGAUGUUUGGUACCAUGAGACAAGAAGCCUGCACUCUAAGGAUGGCAGCGCGAAGAGAGACAGAAGAGAAUUUGUUCAUAUGAUGUCAUUGAGCUUCCACAUCAGUCCAGACUGCUUAACUCUGGAUUUGUAUAAGCCCCCUCUUUGUUUAAGACACAGGGCCUUCUCAUAUCAGCUGGAGUGAUCAUUUGAAAAUAAAAUCAGACUGUGGCGAUCUAUGCUUCAAUACUCUGUGUUCAUUUGUAAGGACUGCUACAGACUGUGUGGCUUCAAUAACAGAAGUUAAAUUUUCCCAUGGUUUUGGAGGCUGAAGGUCAAGAUCAAGAUAUCAGCAGAUAAUAUCUCCAAGACCUAAUCAUAGUAGUGCUGCACAUAACACCCCAAAAAAAGUUUGAAAAAAAAAAUGAAAAGAAUGAGUGAAAGAAAUGAAAUAGAAUGGAAUAAAAUGAAUUGAAUGAAUGAAAAUUUAAAAUGAAAGAAAACCCCAUGCAAGUAAGAAAAAAAUUCUUUUUCAUGCCUCUAUGACCUUUGUUCUCAAUUCCAAUGUUUGACCUAAGAGUUAACCAUUUAUCUUCUGGAAGCUCAUCAAACAUCCCAGAACAUUUAGUUAAAAAUCUCUCCCAGGUCGUCAUCAACUGGUUCCAAAUGCAAGAACCCAGAAACUUGCAAAGAUUUUCCCCCAUUUAUCUUCUUUCUCACCUGCAGCUGACAGCCCCAAGUAAAGGUGCACCCCAGAACUUUGACAGUGAAAUAAUUGAGUAUGCAAAUAAAUCAUUUUAUUAUGGGUAAAGAAAUUCAGAUCAUUUGAAGAAAAGAACAUGGGAGAGGGAAUGUAUACAAAAAUUAUGUGCUCUUCAAACCAACUGCCCCAGUGUAUGUUUCUCUGCAAUUCUGAGUUGACCCAUUGCUCUAGCCCUCGUGGCAGCUUCUAGAAUUGCAGGUAAGGAAGAGAAAAUGGGAAGUAAAGAGAACCAACAUUUUUUAAAGAUUCAGCAACUAUUUUAGUGGACUCAAAAUAUAGCUACCUCCCCUUGGGGAAAUCAAACCUCAGUCUCCAGCAAAACAGGAUCUGGACGUACCAUUCUGCAAAGGCAGAUCAAUACAUUCUUUGUUCUGGUCCUAUAGAUGCAUUUGAUGCAGAACAUCUGUUUGAAUCCUCACAAAAACAUGCAGGAAAGAAAUCUAUCCAGAGGAAGCUGAGGCUCAGAGACACGAAGUAUUCUCAGAAGUUAAAGGGGGCAGGAUUUGAACCUAGGUCAGGCUGACUCUAAACCCUGUGAUCUUCCCAGUACUGACCAAAGGGUAUAAACUUUGCAAGUUCAACUCAUUUCAGCCCACAUUGAAUUUCCCAAGUCUCUGGAAUUUGAAUUUCCCUGCCAGUUAUAGCCUCAUUAAUUCAAUGGCCUUUAUCGAUUGCCUCCUUGGUGCCAAGAACUGUGCUCUGCCUGUGGCUUCCUGAGAAUGAUGAGUGAACGAUCAUAAUGAUAAAACUUAAAUGGCAAGAAAGCAACUCCUAAGGGUGUCAGAGCUCUUCCUCAAAUUGAGUUACUUUCUCACUAUUGAAUAAAUUGUAAUUUGAAAAGCUGGUAAAAGUACCUUCUUUUGGUGCGCCAAGCCAAUCAAUAUGUGCCAUUUAAAAUUCUCCUUUCUGCUUUUCUCCUAUUCAGGCGGGCUGGAGAAAAAGCAAGCAUUUAAGGGCUGAAAUUACUGAGCUGUAUUUCUUAAUGGAGUGAUUUUUUUGCAGUGAUUUGUUUCUGAAGAAUAGGCAGUCAAGGGCCAGCUAAGUAGACGGCUUUCCUGCAGAGAGGGGAAGACGGGGCUUGCCUGGUGCCUGUCCACUGGUGGGGGCGGGGGGGAAGGGGGAACAGCCCUGCAGGAAUCCGCUUGGAGAUGCAGCCUCUCCUACUGGCCCCAGGGACCAUCCCUGACAGUUGUCCUAUUUAUUGAUCGACCACAAAAGCAGAUUUCUAGAACAGUAGGUACCUGUUAUAGGACACACAUACAAAACUUGGGAAUUCUGGCUCCAAAAUCUUCAAAGGGCUAUUUCUGCCUGGUGGAAUUUUGCAUGCCUUUCCCCCCUUUUUGAUCCUCUGUAAUGCCGCAUUUUUUCUUCUAGAGUCUUGUGCCCCUUAAUAGAUGUCCUCAGGGUACUCCACAGCCCCUUUUACUCUCUUUUCACAUUCCCUCCACCUUCUCUUUACCCUUUCAUUCCUUUUUUCAAAGUGAUGUUUUAAAAAAAUAAAAAUGUUCUCCCUCCCCCAUCUUCUUUCCACCUAACAGGGGUGAGAAUAUCCCCCCCACCCCAUGCUGCCCUCUCUCUUCUCUCCCCUCCCUCCCUCCCUCCUCACAGCCUCCCUGGGAAUGCUGGGGUUCCCGAGUAUGAAAGGCAUUUCUCCCUCCCUCAGCCAUAUGCCCGUCAAUCAGGUCCCCUAGCUGUGUCACUUAGGAAGGGACUGCCCAUGGGCACGAGCAAGGGUGAACAGCAGGAGCAAGGGUGGCGUGUGGGAAUAAGGCCAUGAAUCUAUCCUGCACGAUUUCCUUUUCCUGAGCUCCAGGAAGAGUGGGGCUGAGUCAAGUGGCCAGGACCGCAGAUCCGCAGGAUGACCUUUGAAGCCCAGGGAUGUUCAGGGACUUGCCGGUUUCUUCAUUUGUCAGGAGGAGAGAAUAAUGUCUCUGCCUCUCAGGUGCGUAAUGAGGAUCAGAUGAAAUAAUGGAUGUGAAAGUGUUCUAAAAGGUCAGAGUGCUGCAGAAUGAAUCACCAGGCCUAGUAAGUCUCACUUCUUCAUUUCUUUCCUAUCUGUCUUCUCUCAGCUUUCCUGGAGCCUUUGCUAAUCUAGGCCAUCAUCAUCUUAGCCCUGCUCUUUCAGUCUUCCUGUCUUUACUCUUUCCUCACCUUAGUCCCACCUAUACACGAAUGCCCAGUAACAUUCCCAAACCCCACUUGUCAGCAAGGUGCAAUUCCUCAACACAGAUUCUUUUCAACCAAAACUCCAAAUCCUUAACUUAGGGGUGGGAGGCAAAAUUCUAAAAAUAACCUGAUGGCACUGAUCCUUGGAAAAUCCAUUCUCCUUUGAGUGUUGGUGGAAUCUGUUAACGAGAUGAACCAUUGCUCCCAUAAUUAGGCAAGACAGCAAAAGGGGGAUUAUCUAGGUGGACCCAAUUUAAUCAUAUAAGCCUGUUAAAAGCAGAGAGUUUUCUCUAGCUGGUAGCAGAAGAGGAAAUCAGAGAUUAGAAGCAUGGGGAGGAUUCAACAAUAGCCAGCAAGGAAGCAGGAACUUCAGUCUCCCAAACAUAAGGAGCCCAAUCCCACCGGCAACCUGAAGGAGCCUAGAUGCUGAUUUUUCCCCAGAGCCUCCUGGUAAGAGGCCAAUCUGACCAACACUGUGAGUUCAGCCUCAUGACCCUUGGUUAAACCACUCUGACCUCCAGAACUAUGAUAUAAAUAAAUAUCCUUUUAAUCUGCUAAAUUUUUAGCAAUUAGUUAUGCAAUGUCUUAGUUCAAGCUGCUUUAACCAAAUACCAUAGACUAGGUGGUUUAAACAAUGGAAAGUUAUUGUUCACAGUUCUGGAAGCUAGGAAGUCCGAGAUCAGGGUGCCAGCAUGGUCAAGUUCUGGUAAGGAGCCUUUUCCGGGUUUGCAUAUGGCUGUCCUCUUGCAUGUCCUACGAGGUGGAGAGAGAUCAUCUCUCUGGCCCUGUCUUCUUGGGGGGGCAUGAAUCCCAUUCAUGAAGGCUCCCACUCUCAUGCCCUCAAAGCCCCCACCUCCCAAUACCACCCAUUGAGGGGUAGGGCUGAAACAUAUGAAAAAGCAAUAGAAAAUUAUUACAUUUGGUAUUUCAAGGCCUUAAGGGUUCUUAUUCAUCCUACACCUCCAAUCCAUCUCUCAAAUAUAAGCUCUGGAGUGAUCUAUCACUUGCUGGCCAGUUAAUGGCAUCUAUUCUUCAUUUGUAUAUUUAGGAUAUUGUUAGAACCUUCCUCAUGAGCUUUUCGGGAGGAUUAAAUUAGAUAAUCCAGCAAAAAGUAAAUGCUGGGUAAAUUAUUUUUUUCUUUAUGCUAUUAUUAUAUUCUCUGCAGAUGUUCCUCUUACGUCAAGUGGGUUUAUUUAUUAACCUGGGAAAAUACACUCUUUUCUUGGCUCACAUCAUGCCCCUUCCUCUAGCUGCUCUACAUCUCAAAUACCCAUCUGUCCAGGCCUUGCUCAGACUCCUCCCUCCUCUGUGAAAGCUUCCUGGAUCCUUCCAGCUCAUGGUAGUCUGUUUUUUGUGUUUACUGCUCAAGUACUGGAGAAUGGUGCAAAUACUUAGACUCUCUCAUAUCCAAUCACUUCAAAGGGUGUUUUUUGUUAUGAAAUAAAUGCUUGUUUGCUAGAGACAAUUGGGAAAAUCUGUAACAGUUUAAGACAGGAAAUAAGUCACCUGCUGCCAUUAUUAUAUCCUUCCAGUCUUCCUGUUUUUGUUGUCUAUAGAUAUAUACAUGUAUAUGUAAACAGUUGGCUUCCAGAGAAUAAAACUUAGCCCUAGUCCUCCCAGGGCAUGCAUCUGCCUGAGAAGAGAUUAAGAUACGUUCGCAGAAGGAAUUCAGAGGGAAAGUACAAUAUGACAUUUAGCCUUAGUCAUGCAAAAUAGGAUUUUUCACAAAAGCAGGGUAUUAAAUGUUUUGUCUAAGGUUCCUUAUUAGCUUCCUAUGGCUGCCAUUACAAAUUACCACAAGCUUAGUGGUUUAGAACAACACAGAUUUAUUCUCUGACAGUUCUGGAGGUCAAAAGUCUGAAAGGAAUCUUCCAGGGCACAGGGUAUUCUUAGGAUUCCUUCUGGAGACUCCAGGGGAGGCAGUUCCUUUCCUCCUCCAGCCUCGACAAACACCCACAUUCCUUGGCUCCUGGCUCCAUCCGUCCAAUCUCUGCUUCCAUCAUUACAUCCCCUAAUUUUAACCCUCCUGCCUCCCCCUCAUAGGGACACUUGUGAUUCCUUGGGAUGAGCCAGGAUAAACUCCCCAUAUGAAGAUGCUUAACUUAAUAUUUGCAAGGUCCAUUUUACUAUGUAAAGUAACAUAGUCAAAGGUUCCUGGGAUUAGGAGAUAGGCAUCUUUCAAGGACCAUUAUUCAGUCCACCAAAGUACUCUAGAAAACAGAGCCUGGGGUAAGGAUUAUGUGCUAAUAGUUUUAUUGUGAUGUAUAAACCUAGAGUGGGAAGAAUGAGGAAAAGGGGAAGUAAAGCAACAAGUAAUGUAAGAUGAUUACUGAGUUGAUCCCUGCCUUGGGAUGCCUGGAGGAAAGACAUUGCAACUUGCUUGGCAGGUGGGUUGCUCAGCCAUGUGGAAGUCUGCAGGCAGGUUAUACAGAGAAACUGUCUCUUGGAGCAGUCAGUUGAAGGAAGGAACGAGAGGGAACUUAUCCAUUCCCUCCCAUCUCUUAUUUCGCAUGGAUCAAAGCUUGCCCCACGUGGAGUGAAUUCCUGCAUGUUUCCAGGUGGCAUCAUUCGGGCCCUUUGAGAGUUCUUUGGAAGGCGGGUCCUGUGCCCUUAGUGCUCUUUUUACCUGAUUCCGGAGGUAGUGGGAGGAACCAAAACGCUGAGCAUUUGGUCAACCUGAGGGGCCCAUAGGAAACUGGUGGCCAAGACAGAGCAGUCAGCUGAGGAGCCAGGUUGCAGGUGGAGCCAAAAGAAGCUAAGAAGGUGAAGUCAGGAGAAUCUGAAGGAGCCCCUGAGAUGUAUCCAACACAUUGCACCCCUUGAAUCUCUUGAUCCAUCAGACCCUCCCAUUAUAUCCUCUUCCAGAUUACAAUAUCAAGUGUGCAGUUGUUUUUUGAGAAUAAGACGCCUUCACUUCUCCCUGAGGGGGGGGGGUAAAAAUCCAGUCAGUCACAGAGUCCCUUUAGGUUCUGGCCAGUCUAAAUUUCCAGUAAAACUUAAGGUUAAUAGAGCAAGUUACAUCCCCACUGUGCUGGUCCCAAGGCCAUGACCAACAUUCAUCAUUCCAUCCGUUCUAGGCCUCUCUCCCCCUUGGCCUGCACUUCUGCUGAUCUGCAUUACUAGAGCUGGGUGUGCCCUGUCUAGUUAAAUGGGAAAUGAUGAUUUAACGCCUAAAUAUUAUUCUCUUCAGAGUGACUUCCCUGGGGGUUGGAGCCUCAAUCUGAAAAAUUGGCUCUGUGUUGUGUCAAAAAAUAAAUGAGGCUCUUCCUCUCAUGUCCACUGUGUAGAUUAGGUUGCAAUGGGUAUAGGACCUCAGGAUCAGAUACUGCUGCCUUUUGCAGCUGAAUCAUUGGCAACCUUAUUGAUCAUGGUUCCCUGCUGACUUAGCGUCACAGGGCUAACACAGUUUUGCAAACAGAAAUAAUCAACAGAUAUGCCAUGGAGUAGAGUGGAAUUCAUUACAGGCUACUGCGAGGAGCCAUAGGUGUUUGGGAAGGAACUCAAGGAUGGAAAGCUGCUAGGGAAACAGCUCUUAUAUUAAAAUUACUUUAGCAAUAGCUAUCAUUUACCACCAAUGUGCCAGGAGCUCUGAGGCCCUCUUCUAAAAUAGUUGAUAAGAAAGACAACAUUGAAAUAACCUCAGGAUCUAAGAUAAAAAUGGCUUAGUAGAUGCAAACUAUAGCAUUUGGAGUGGAAAAGCAAUGAGGUCCUACUAUACAGCACAGGAAACUAUAUUCAGUCACCUGUGAUGAAACGUAAUGGAAGAUAACAUGAGAAAAAGAAUGUAUGUAUAUGUAUCACUGGGUCGCUUUGCUGUAUAGCAGAAAUUGACAGAACUUUGUAACUCAACUAUAUAAAAUAUUUUAAAAUACAGCCUGUACUUGAGCCAUCUAGUUAAAUCAAUAUUCUUAUUUUUUUCACGUACAUAUGUAGUUACUUCAUAUUCCUUAUAAUCUUACAGCUAUAACUUAAAAUAUUACUUUCCACAUUUUCACCUUAAUUUUUACCACAAAAAUACUUACAUUUUGUGAAAAUCUGUUUACCUCCCUGUUUUCCGACCUUCUCUUUGCCCACACUGUAACCAGCAUAAAAAGCCUGAGAACAUCUCUCUACAUCUCUCUGUUCAUUUAAAAAUAAUAAUAGUAACAAUAAUAGCAAACACUUACUUCAUGCUUAUUAUAAGGUAGGCAUUUUUUUAACCACAUUAGCUGCUAUAGCUCAUUUAAUCAUCACAAUUUUAUGAGGGAAAUACUCAUGUUAUCCUCAGUUUACACAUAAAGGACCUGAGGGCCAGCAUACACAGAAUAUUCAAAAUUAUAAACAAAUACAUAGACACAAACAAAGGAAGACUUUUUGGUCAUUGAAAAUAAAUAGGAAAAGUGGAAUACACUGAAUACAUCUCACUGCAGUAGCUUUUCCAGUAGAGGAUAGAUUGCCCUCUCUCCAGGUCAGAAGACCCAGCUCUAACUAAUUUUUUUUUUUUUUUUGUCUUUUGUUUUUUUAGGGCCACACUCGCGCAUAUGAAAGUUCCCAGG
Molecule: non-coding RNA, 11880 nt
Organism: Sus scrofa (pig)
Lineage: Eukaryota; Metazoa; Chordata; Mammalia; Artiodactyla; Suidae
Source: RefSeq, a predicted model, not a curated record